This 606-nucleotide ribosomal RNA is filed under the name Eulimnogammarus verrucosus. Its description in RNAcentral is "SSU rRNA". It matches the Rfam family "Eukaryotic small subunit ribosomal RNA", at positions 30 to 552 of the family's 1831-position model. The record is from RNAcentral. Lineage: Eukaryota; Metazoa; Arthropoda; Malacostraca; Amphipoda; Eulimnogammaridae.
GCUUGUCUCAAAGAUUAAGCCAUGCAUGUCUAAGUCCAAGCUGUGUUCACACGGCGAGACCGCGGACGGCUCAUUAAAUCAGUCGUGGUCCAAAUGGGCCAGUGCAAAUCCUACUUGGAUAACUGUGGUAAUUCCAGAGCUAAUACAUGCAACUGAUAUCCCGAAGGCGGUGUUUGGGCUUGCUUGCCUUGCGCUGCGCUGCUCUGACGGAUGCUUUUAUUAGACCAAGCCGCUGAGGACUUGAGGGUUCGCGCUCUCUUGUCUGACUCGUGUGAUGGUGACUCUGGAUAACCAAAUUCUGACAAGCGCACGUACUUCUCUUCUGAGCGAGACGGCGCUGCCACUUUCGAGUGUCUGCCUUAUCAGCUAUCAACCGUUCGUUAUGCGCGACCGAUGGCUUUGACGGGUAACGGGGAAUCAGGGUUCGAUUCCGGAGAGGCAGCCUGAGAGACGGCUACCACGUCCAAGGACGGCAGCAGGCACGCAAAUUACCCAAUCCCAGCAAAUGGGGGAGGUAGUGACGAAAUCUAACGAUGCGGGCGCCCUUUCUGGGGCCCCGCAAUCGGAAUGGGCACUUUCUAAACAACCUGUUGAGAACCUACUGAA